This 116-nucleotide ribosomal RNA is filed under the name Aerococcus sanguinicola. The record is from RNAcentral. Lineage: Bacteria; Bacillati; Bacillota; Bacilli; Lactobacillales; Aerococcaceae.
UGCGGUGGUAAUGGCAAGAAGGCCACACCUGUUCCCAUGCCGAACACAGCAGUUAAGCUUCUUAGCGCCGAAUGUAGUUGGGGGUUGCCCCCUGUGAGACUAGGACGCUGCCGCGC